CCUACGGGAGGCAGCAGUGGGGAAUUUUCCGCAAUGGGCGAAAGCCUGACGGAGCAAUACCGCGUGAGGGAAGACUGCCUAUGGGUUGUAAACCUCUUUUUUCAGGGAGGAAUAAAAUGACGUGUACCUGAAGAAUAAGCAUCGGCUAACUCCGUGCCAGCAGCCGCGGUAAGACGGAGGAUGCAAGUGUUAUCCGGAAUCACUGGGCGUAAAGCGUCUGUAGGUGGUUUAAUAAGUCAACUGUUAAAUCUUGAGGCUCAACUUCAAAACCGCAGUCGAAACUAUUAGACUAGAGUAUAGUAGAGGUAAAGGGAAUUUCCAGUGGAGCGGUGAAAUGCGUAGAUAUUGGAAAGAACACCGAUGGCGAAAGCACUUUACUGGGCUAUUACUAACACUCAGAGACGAAAGCUAGGGUAGCAAAUGGGAUUAGAUACCCCAGUAGUCCUAGCCGUAAACUAUGGAUACUAGAUGUUGAACAGAUCGACCUGUGCAGUAUCAAAGCUAACGCGUUAAGUAUCCCGCCUGGGAAGUAUGCUCGCAGAGUAGAACUACAAGAAGUAGUACGGACGUGAGACGUGCGACGGACGACGACGAGGAGUAGG
RNAcentral lists this ribosomal RNA (602 nucleotides) under uncultured bacterium. RNAcentral's name for it is "bacterial SSU rRNA". It matches the Rfam family "Bacterial small subunit ribosomal RNA", at positions 338 to 953 of the family's 1533-position model. The record is from RNAcentral.